Papaver somniferum (opium poppy) is the source of this 733-nucleotide long non-coding RNA. RefSeq lists it as uncharacterized. The transcript is spliced from 4 exons. Lineage: Eukaryota; Viridiplantae; Streptophyta; Magnoliopsida; Ranunculales; Papaveraceae. The record is from RefSeq and is a predicted model, not a curated record.
UUCUCUAAAUUUGAUUUAUUAUUGAUCAUGUCUCAUAAUUUGGUUUGUCCACUACCCUUGCUUUUUUGGCAUUGUCCAAGAAAUUGACUGUAGAUGAACUCUUUUAUCUGAAGGAGUAGUUUGCACUGUUAGAACAUAACUUUGGGGAAUAUCUGGAUGGUAAGUUGAAGAAAGAAAGAACAGAUAGAGCGCUUAUUUGGUUUAUGAUUACCGGGUCUCCUUUGAAAGAUAACACCAAUCGUUAUUGUCCAUCUGGAUUGUAAAUAUGCAUAUGUUAACUAACGUCUUGUGCUUCUGUAAUUUGAAUCGGGUGUGGAUGAAACAGGACAUGAUGUUGCACCAUAAAUGUUACUAAGUAUCUUGCCUACACCUUCAAGUAUGCAAUUUUGACCAAGAUGGAUGUUCUGAUCUUGAGCAUAGGAGGCCCUAGUUAAUUAGAUCCUCCUCCAGUUGAGAAGGAAGUAGUGGAUACUCUUAUUUGUAUGAGAGACUUUGGCAGGCAGGAAUUAUAGUCAGGAGUACUAGAUGCCAAUGCUGAAACUGGUGCAUCCAAAGAGAACUAAGUGCUUUUGUUCUUGAUCUUGGUUGUGCUCUUCGGGUAUUUCCACUCCAAAUCUUAAGUGUUUGAGCUUUGGAGUUGAGCAUCCAGCUGCUUAAGUUGAUAGAUACAUUUGUCAUGCCUGUAACCUAUAUUCUUGUACCAGCUAAGCAGCUGGAGAGGAUUUUGUUUUUG